GUUAGAUAUUAGGAGGAAGUUUUUCACACAGGGGGUGGUGACACACUGGAACAGGUUGCCCAAGGAGGUUGUGGAUGCCCCAUCCCUGGAGGUAUUCAAGGCCAGGCUGAAUGUGGCUCUGGGCAGCCUGGUCUGGUGGUUGGCGACCCUGCACAUAGCAGGGGGCUUGAAACUCGAUGAUCAUUGUGGUCCUUUUCAACCCAGGCCAUUCUAUGAUUCUGAUUCUAUGAUCUGUGAUACCACAUUGAAUGUAUGCAUGUUUGUAUGUUAUUUCCUGGGGCAGAGCUCAUGUUUGUUUUUCAGAGUAAGGAAAAUAAAGGUCUCAGCACUUAGCCCAUGAUGACCGUUUUGCAGAAAUAGAACGCCAAGCAAGAAGAACGAAGCCUGCAGGAGUACAAGGAGGAAAUGAAAGUUGCCGUACCGACAGGGCUACACAAAUCCCGCGAUGGGUGGAUUAGGCUGAGCGUUAUCAGUGAUGAUGAAACACAGCAGACUGUGCAGCACCUUUUGCGAUAUGAGGCAUCGCAGGGGCAGGAACAAAGCGGGAGCCAGGUGAGACUGCUGGAGAGACAAAGGGUUCCCUCUGUGCCACAGGACUCCUCGCACUGAAGUGGAUAUUGCCAUUUGCUGUGAGUGCCUGGUCAUUACCAUUCCUUGUCCUUUAUUACGUGGAGGGGUCUCGUAGGGCUCUCAUGAACUUCCUCAGAAGUGUGUCCCAGCUUCCCUACGGCACUGCUUGAAUGGAGCGUGACAGCACUUGUCAGCAGAGCAGUUGUGGAGACACGCUGAAGAGCUCUAAUGCACUUUUUAAUCCUGCUUCAUCAACCUCCCC
This is a long non-coding RNA of Gallus gallus (chicken), 832 nucleotides long. NCBI's taxonomy places the organism in Eukaryota, Metazoa, Chordata, Aves, Galliformes, Phasianidae. The record is from Ensembl.